This 253-nucleotide ribosomal RNA is filed under the name uncultured bacterium. RNAcentral describes it as "partial 16S ribosomal RNA". It matches the Rfam family "Bacterial small subunit ribosomal RNA", at positions 524 to 776 of the family's 1533-position model. The record is from RNAcentral.
UACGGGGGGGGCAAGCGUUGUUCGGAAUUACUGGGCGUAAAGGGAGCGUAGGCGGAUAGUUUAGUCAGAGGUGAAAGCCCAGGGCUCAACCCUGGAAUUGCCUUUGAUACUGGCUAUCUUGAGUAUGGGAGAGGUUAGCGGAACUCCGAGUGUAGAGGUGAAAUUCGUAGAUAUUCGGAAGAACACCAGUGGCGAAGGCGGCUAACUGGCCCAUUACUGACGCUGAGGCUCGAAAGCGUGGGGAGCAAACAGG